UGACAGAUAUGAGGAUGUGUAAAUUUGACCACGAGGAACCUCAUUCAGGUUAUUAGAGGUGUGAUUAGAAGGUUAGACAAGAAGGUCCUGAGCCAAUGGGAGGUCAUUGGUGAGGGCAUGAGGGUCAGAGAGAGUGGGCGAGUUCGUUUAACAUGGCCCACUGCUCUACGUUUAAAAUGGAUAAGUCUUUGCAACUUUUCUAACAAAUGGCUUCCCCCAACACACUCCUCAUAUUGAGUUGCUGCAUCUUUUACACAUCCAUAUGUCUGAAUUAAAGGCCCUUAUAGUCCUCAUUCAAUGUAAUGCUUGUUGCUUGUUAACUCUCUUGCUCUUUUUUUCAUGCACACUCUGUACUUCUAUCCAUCUCUCUCCAGGUGCUACAGAGACAGAAUAUUCCAAAGACAUCCAGAGCCUUCUAGCUAACUACCGGCGAUCUCUCCAGAGCACAGAGAAGUGAGUCUGCUGGGCCAUGGAACUCUAGAGCAGCACAUCAAAAAACAUGCCACCCUGUUGGCAGCUUUCAAUGGCCGAAUUUGGGGGAUGGCUAAAUGCAAUCAAGCUGUGUAAAAUAAUGUUACAAAAUAAAAAAAAAGUGCCUGUUG
Non-coding RNA from Salmo salar (Atlantic salmon), 602 nucleotides. The record is from RefSeq and is a predicted model, not a curated record. NCBI's taxonomy places the organism in Eukaryota, Metazoa, Chordata, Actinopteri, Salmoniformes, Salmonidae.